AGCUCAUCGAGAAAAUGAUCGGUUCGUACACCUUAUACUCUAAUUCUCCUUCUUUGUGUGUCAUUGAUUCUUUGCUCUGCUGGAGAAAAAUAGCGGAAAUUUCUGCUUGAAAUUACAGGGGGGAAAAGAAAACUCACAUUCUUCAAGGAAAGGUCCAAUAUUAGAAGACUUCCUAUCAUCGAAAUUAGUAAUUUUGCUAUUGCGCUAAGCUUAUUCUAAGUUGAUGAGGCUC
This 232-nucleotide unclassified non-coding RNA is filed under the name Hevea brasiliensis (rubber tree). Lineage: Eukaryota; Viridiplantae; Streptophyta; Magnoliopsida; Malpighiales; Euphorbiaceae. The record is from RNAcentral.